RNAcentral lists this transfer RNA (76 nucleotides) under Bacillus thuringiensis serovar finitimus YBT-020. Its description in RNAcentral is "tRNA-Val (TAC) (tRNA-Val-TAC-3-1)". It matches the Rfam family "tRNA". Rfam says of the family: Transfer RNA (tRNA) molecules are approximately 80 nucleotides in length. Their secondary structure includes four short double-helical elements and three loops (D, anti-codon, and T loops). Lineage: Bacteria; Bacillati; Bacillota; Bacilli; Caryophanales; Bacillaceae. The record is from RNAcentral.
GGAGGAUUAGCUCGGCUGGGAGAGCACCUGCCUUACAAGCGGGGGGUCGGCGGUUCGAUCCCGUCAUCCUCCACCA